Molecule: long non-coding RNA, 745 nt
Organism: Tupaia belangeri chinensis (Chinese tree shrew)
Lineage: Eukaryota; Metazoa; Chordata; Mammalia; Scandentia; Tupaiidae
Exons: 3
Source: RefSeq, a predicted model, not a curated record
UCUCUUGAAUUUUUCUCUAAGUUGAACAUCUGAUUAACAGAAAGUUUUCAAAUGAAGCGCUUUUAUUUGGUAUGUAUUACAUAGCCAGUAAAAUAUGGCAUUAUUCCUUUUCUCUGAAUUUCUCUGGGAGCAGAAUUGAACUAUGAAUGUGCAGUAAUGUAGUCAGUGCAAACAACUCUGCAAACGACCCUGCCACACACAUGACAAAGGGUUUCCAUGGAAACAGUCAAAUAGGAUACAUUUAAUACUAAGUCUUGAGAAACAAGGAAAUCCUGCCAAACACAACCCCGAGGGUGAACUUGGAGGACAUCGCACUCAGCGAGACAAGACAGUCACGGAAGGACAGACACCACAUGAUCCCACUUAUGUGAAGCAUUUGAAAUAGUCCAACUCACGGCAGCAAAAUACAAUACCAUAUACAAUGUAAGGAACCCCCAAGUGUUUAUUGAAUAGCAGAAGAGAAAUCAGGAAGUGAGCAACAAUUACUGAUGCUCCUCUCCCCCUUGGUGGAUUGCAUCCCAUGAAGGCCAUCGGCGCUUUCCUCAAAAGCUGCGUCCUUUGGUGAAGCUGGGAAUCCUCACUCUGCAAUCAGCCACCACACCAAUGCUAUGAUGAAGAAUGGUGCUGGCAUGUCACUGCCUCGCUAUCAUCUCUCUCAGUGCUUCUUGGUGUCUGCUGCUUCCCUUUUCUGCAAAGUAGAAUCCACUGUAACUGUGAGGAAGGGAGACAGAGACUGGGGAAAGAU